Homo sapiens (human) is the source of this 680-nucleotide long non-coding RNA. The record is from Ensembl. Lineage: Eukaryota; Metazoa; Chordata; Mammalia; Primates; Hominidae.
CAAUUUACGGCAAUAGACAUUUACAGAACAAAAAUAAGACAGUUCCAAGACAAAGGAGUGUAAAAGUACAGCACACAGGUUAAUACUCUUCACCCUCAUCCUCUCCGUCAGCACUAUCUGCUCCAACCUCCUCAUAAUCCUUCUCAAGGGCAGCCAUGUCCUCACGGGCCUCUGAAAACUCGCCUUCCUCCAUCCCCUCACCCACGUACCAGUGAACAAAGGCACGCUUGGCAUACAUCAGGUCAAACUUGUGGUCCAGGCGAGCCCAGGCCUCGGCAACAGCUGUGGUAUUGCUCAGCAUGCACACAGCUCUCUGUACCUUGGCCAGGUCUCCGCCAGGCACCACAGUGGGAGGCUGGUAAUUAAUGCCAACCUUGAAGCCAGUGGGGCACCAAUCCACAAACUGGAUGGUACGCUUGGUUUUGAUGGUGGCAAUGGCAGCAUUGACAUCUUUGGGAACCACGUCACCACGGUAUAACAGGCAGCAAGCCAUGUAUUUACCAUGGCGAGGGUCACAUUUCACCAUCUGGUUGGCUGGCUCAAAGCAAGCAUUGGUGAUCUCUGCUACAGUAAGCUGUUCGUGGUAGGCUUUCUCAGCAGAGAUGACAGGGGCAUAUGUGGCCAGAGGGAAGUGGAUGGAACCCCACUCACCAUGACUAGAACUUGAAGGGGUCUGCGGC